Molecule: long non-coding RNA, 3145 nt
Organism: Mus musculus (house mouse)
Lineage: Eukaryota; Metazoa; Chordata; Mammalia; Rodentia; Muridae
Product: predicted gene, 52878
Exons: 2
Source: RefSeq, a predicted model, not a curated record
AAGAAAAGAAAAAACAAAAAAGCCAUGAAGCGCGGUGGUCACCCCUUUAAUCCCAGCACUUGGGUAGCAGAGGCAGGUGUUUCUCUAUAAGCUCAAGGUCAGCUUAGUCUACAGAACAAGUUUCAGCACAGCCAAGGCUACACACACACACACACACACACACACACACACACACACACACACACACACAAACCCUGUCUUGAGAAACCAAAGAGGAGGGGGAAAGGUAGAAAAGGAAGAGGAAAAUGUUUUAAUACAAUCUCACAAGUGUUAGUGAAGAAGGAACUAACAAGUCAGCCCCAGAAGCCCGUAUAAAAUUCUUCCUGCUGUCAGUUACAAAAAGUCUUAUUUUUCAAGCACAGAGCUGGAUUGUUUUUGUAAUGAAAAAGAAUGCAACAUUUCCCUUCAACAAACACUGAAUCAUUGUGUGGAAGGACCUUGGAGGCAUAUACACCACAAACCAAGGCUACACCACUGCCUGUAAAAAGAUUUCAUCCGUCAGGUACAGGGCAAAUGAUGCAGAGCAAAAUGGCACAGAUGUGAGAAAUAGCAUGGAGCCAGCACACAGCAAGGCUACAAGUAGUAUUUGUUAGUGGAACUACUUUGUGUGCCUAAAGAUAAGCUGAGAAGUUAAGAGUCAGAGCACGAGGAAACCUACAUUUAGUAAAAUGAUCUAGCCACUUUGGGAAAUCCACAGCUGCCCAAAAAGCUAAACACAGAGUUACGUAUGGAUCGGUAAUGUCACUCAGAGGUGUCACCCAAGAGAAUGGAAGCGUGUCUGUUCCACAAGAGCAGAAAGGGCCAUGCUAGUGCAGGCCAUUAUGGUGGCCACAAGAGGAACCCAACCAAACCAAUGCCUACCUGCUAGCAGAGCCCCGUGGGCCAGGUGCCUAGGAGGUAGAGCAGGAGGAUCAGGAGUUCCAGGCCUUCUUCAGAUACAUAGUGAGUCUGAAGGACGCCUGAGUUUGGUCCCUGGAACUAAUUAAUCCCUCAUGGAAGAAGGAGAGAACCAACUCUUGCAAACUGAUCUCAUUUCCAUAUGUGCAUGCCUGCCCCCCAAAUAAAUUAAUGUUUUAAAAGGACAAAUGUCCAGCAAUUGAUUUAAAAAAAAAAGUAACCAAGAUUUUGAACAGUUGUACAGUGAAUUAUUAUUCAAUUACUAAAGGAAUGAAGUACCCAUACAUGCCACAUUCAGAUGAAUAUUUAAAACAUGUUAGAUGGGCAGGCAGUGGUGGUGCAUGCCUUUAAUCCCAGCACUUGGGAGGCAGAGGCAGGUGGAUCUCUGAAUUCAAGGCCAGCCUGGUCUACAGAGUGAGUUCCAGGACAGCCAGGAACACACAGCUACACAGAGCCUGUCUUGAAAACAAAAAGCAAAAAACAAAAACAAACAAACACCAUGUUAGAUCAAAGAAUCAGUCAUAAAGUGCCAAAUCCUAUAUGAUUCUGUCUCACUGAAAUGUGGGGAAUAGACAUGUCUACAGAAGCAGACCUGGUUUAGUUGCUGCUCCUUGGGUGGAAUAAGGGCUGGGGAGUGGCUUUAGCCCAUACCGGGUUCUCUGGGGAUUGUGUGGAGACACGAUGGACGUGGUAAAUGCUAGUCAGAGAGCACAGGGUUUCCGAACAGCCGGAAAUCAGUUAAUAGAAACAGAUUAUAACACUGGUGUAGCAGAAAUUUAUCUGGCAUGAAUUCCCGAGUGAUAACAUAUAGGCUUUUGUAAAUAAAUAGUCAGUGCUUGUUAUCUGAGGUGUUCUGAGUGGUCCUUCCAGAGGAUGCACAGAGCCUUUGCAUAACUUAGUCCUGAGACAUACUUGGCAAACUAGGAAGCCUUGUUUGGCUGAGAAUUGCUUAGGUAAUGGUUCCUUCAGACAGCUCCUAGGUCAGAGGGGGUUUUGAUAUUCAGAAAUUGGCUUGGUAAUAGUUCCUUUUGUGUAGGAAUAAAGAGGCUUCUGCAGUGAUUAGGAAUUCAGCCCAUCAGAGGCUGAAGAAGCCAUAAUAAAUCCUGUAGUUGAUCCUCAUAGCCACAUUACUCAAAACACUGACAUUCUUGAAAGUGGCGGGGUUUUUUUGUUUUUUGUUUUUUUGUUUUUUCGAGACAGGGUUUCUCUGUGUAGCCCUGGCUAUCCUGGAACUCACUUUGUAGACCAAGCUGGCCUCUAACUCAGAAAUCUGCCUGCCUCUGCUUCCCAAGUGCUGGGAUUAAAGGAGUGUGCCACCAUGCCUGGCUUGGUUUUUUUUUUUUUUUUUUUUGGUUUUUCGAGACAGGGUUUCUCUGUAUAGUCCUGGCUGUCCUGGAACUCACUUUGUAGACCAGGCUGGCCUCGAACUCAGAAAUCUGCCUGCCUCUGCCUCCCAAGUGCUGGGAUUAAAGGCAUGCGCCACCACGCUGGGCUUUUUUGUUUUGUUUUGUUUUUAAGGAGAGUGUCUCAUGUGGCCCAGGUUGACUCUGAACUCACAAUGUAGUCCAGGCUAGCCUUAAACUCCAGAUCCCCUUUUCUCUGCUUCCCAGGUGCUGGGAUUACACAGGUCUGCCACCAUACCUGAUUGCUAAGACAAUAUUUUAUAUUCUAACAACAAAUAACAAAAACAAAACAAGCAAACUAAAAGGUUAGGUUGGGCUGUAGAUGUUGCUUAAAUGAUAAACUGCUUCCUUAGCAUGCAGGAAACUCUGAGUCCAUUCUGCCAUACUGAGUUAAUUGGACACGAUGGUACACACCAGCAGUGCAGCUCUCAGGAGGUUCCAGGGCAUCCUUGGGGACACUGUCUCAAUAUUAAUAUACAUAUAUGAAUUCAUAAACAUAAUCCUGUCCAAAAGUUUGACUGCACAGACACACAAUAAAUAAAUGAUUGUAAUUUAAAAAUUAAAUAUAUAUAUAUAGUUCCUAGUUGGUGGAAGUGUUUUGAGAAAGGUUAGGAGAUGUGGCCUUGUUGGAGGAGUGUCGUUGGGGGUGGGCUUUGAGGUUUCAAAAGCCCAUGGCAGGCCCGGAAUCUGUCUCUUUCUUUCUACCUGCUACCUGUAGAUGAGAUGUAAGUUAUAACUACUGCUCCAGUGCCUUGCCUGCAGGCUGCCAUCCUCCCUGCUAAGGGUCAAGCAUUCAACCUCUGAGAUUGUAAGCACUCUCCCAAUUAAAUGGUUUUUUUUUUGUU